CGCUCCCCAGCUGGAGCUCUUGCUGGCGUCUCCCCGCGAGCAGCUGCUGAAGUGCUGGGGACUAAGGGCACGUCAGCAGCCGCCACUCCUUCGGCGUUGGCUCUGGCGCCGGGGUCGUUGUUUCGUGACAACCACUCAGGUAGCCGUUUCUGAGACAGCAGAUGCGGCCGCUUUAGCCCUGAGCGGGCUCCCCGGCUCCCUGAAGGGUCUCUGCCAGUGCCCAACUCUUUUCUUCCGGACUCCAAGCCAGGCAGCGACCCUGAGCCAACAGCAGGAGCGCCCGAAAAUGGCGGCCUGGACUGCCUCGCACUGGCCAGUCAAGGGGGUCCUGAAAAACAAGACCUCUACAGCUUCCUCUAUGGUGGCCUCAGCUGAACAGCCCAGUGGGAGUGUCGAGGAGGAGCUGAGCAAAAAAUCCCAAAAGUGGGAAGAAAUGAACAUUCUGGCGACAUACCAUCCAGCAGACAAAGACUAUGGUUUAAUGGAAAUAGAUGAACCAAGCGCUCCUUACUGUCGUAAGAUGGGUGAUGGUGAAGGUGCGUGUAGUGAUACAGAAACCACUGAAGCCGUAGCACCAGAUACCUUAGCUAAGAAAUUAGCUGCUGCUGAAGGCUUGAACCCAAAGUAUCGGGUUCAGGAACAAGAAAGCAGUGGAGAGGAGGCUAGUGACCUCUCACCUGAAGAACGAGAAAAAAGGCAACAAUUUGAAAUGAAAAGGAAGCUUCACUACAGUGAAGGACUCAAUAUCAAACUAGCUAGAGAAUUAAUUUGA
Molecule: RNA transcript, 772 nt
Organism: Nomascus leucogenys (northern white-cheeked gibbon)
Lineage: Eukaryota; Metazoa; Chordata; Mammalia; Primates; Hylobatidae
Gene name: protein phosphatase inhibitor 2 pseudogene
Exons: 1
Source: RefSeq, a predicted model, not a curated record